RNAcentral lists this long non-coding RNA (588 nucleotides) under Physcomitrium patens. RNAcentral's name for it is "long non-coding RNA (PPAT_LNC003877)". The record is from RNAcentral. Lineage: Eukaryota; Viridiplantae; Streptophyta; Bryopsida; Funariales; Funariaceae.
UCGAAGUACCUUGAGUGGCGGACAAGCAGAUUGAAGAUUAGGAGCAAACAUAGAUAAACGUAACGACUCUCGGCUUAGCUCCGUGCUCUUUGCAAAAUAAGAUGUUGCAAGCAUUGGUGCGUAGAAGCUCACAUAUCCUGGUACCGCUACUCUCAUCAAGCUGCAAACAACUUCACAUUAAUUAUGAAUAGGACGCUUUUCUACUGAAGCACGUGGGAAAUAUGCAAAAUGCCCAUUUCCUCGCUAGUAGAAGAAGCACAAUUUCCAAAAUCAAUUAGAACAGCGAUGAGAAAACAUAAGAGCAAUAAUGAUUAUAAUAAUAACAAUGAAGGUUCAGGAUAGUCAGUGGUUGGACUCAUCAUUGAUGUAGAAAACAGUCACGAGAACAGAAACAAAACCAACAAUUUUCAUUUCGUGAUGUUUUAAACGCAUGUAUUAAUGAAGUAUUUGAAGAAAUUGCAGUUAAAUCUCGAGUCGCCCGUAGCGAAACCUAACAACGUCACACCUAUAUGAUUUGAGUUGAGAACGAGGUGGAGAAACACGAAGGCAGUAAAACAAAACAACGAAGAUUCAUGCUGUUCCGUACCU